AACCUUUACACUGCACGACAGCGCGAUAAGGGAAUCCCAAGUGCGUAGGCAUAGAGCCUACGCUUUUGUCCACCGUAGGGAGGUGGACGAAUAAGGGCUGGGCAAGACCGGUGCCAGCCGCCGCGGUAAUACCGGCAGCCCGAGUGAUGGCCGAUCUUAUUGGGCCUAAAGCGUCCGUAGCUGGCCGCACAAGUCCAUCGGAAAAUCCACCCGCUCAACGGGUGGGCGUCCGGUGGAAACUGUGUGGCUUGGGACCGGAAGGCGCGACGGGUACGUCCGGGGUAGGAGUGAAAUCCCGUAAUCCUGGACGGACCGCCGAUGGCGAAAGCACGUCGCGAGAACGGAUCCGACAGUGAGGGACGAAAGCUAGGGUCUCGAACCGGAUUAGAUACCCGGGUAGUCCUAGCCGUAAACAAUGCCUGCUAGGUGUGGCUCCCACUACGAGUGGGUGCUGUGCCGUAGGGAAGCCGCUAAGCAGGCCGCCUGGGAAGUACGUCCGCAAGGAUGAAACUUAA
RNAcentral lists this ribosomal RNA (515 nucleotides) under uncultured archaeon. RNAcentral describes it as "bacterial SSU rRNA". It matches the Rfam family "Archaeal small subunit ribosomal RNA", at positions 345 to 859 of the family's 1478-position model. The record is from RNAcentral.